UUUAAAGAGUGCGUAAUAGCUCACUAGUCGAGUGACCCUGCGCCGAAAAUGUACCGGGGCUAAACAUAUUACCGAAGCUGUGGAGUACACCUUUAGGUGUAUUGGUAGGAGAGCGUUCUAAGGGCGUCGAAGGCAGAUCGUGAGGACUGCUGGAGCGCUUAGAAGUGAGAAUGCCGGUAUGAGUAGCGAAAGACAGGUGAGAAUCCUGUCCACCGAAUGACUAAGGUUUCCUGGGGAAGGCUCGUCCGCCCAGGG
RNAcentral lists this ribosomal RNA (255 nucleotides) under Enterococcus faecium. RNAcentral describes it as "partial 23S ribosomal RNA". It matches the Rfam family "Bacterial large subunit ribosomal RNA", at positions 1122 to 1379 of the family's 2925-position model. Lineage: Bacteria; Bacillati; Bacillota; Bacilli; Lactobacillales; Enterococcaceae. The record is from RNAcentral.